Molecule: long non-coding RNA, 632 nt
Organism: Paramisgurnus dabryanus
Lineage: Eukaryota; Metazoa; Chordata; Actinopteri; Cypriniformes; Cobitidae
Source: RefSeq, a predicted model, not a curated record
ACACUGUAUGCAAACAUGCAACAUCAUAACACACAGUACAAGGAGUCAGACUGGCAUAUGAGGAGCAAAGGAACCCAGGCAGUAGCAUCGUUUCACAAUGUUUCCAUCACCAUCAUCAGUGGAUGCCUUUGCUGUCCGUAGCCUGAGAUUUCAGAUUUGCAGCAAAAAAAAUUUGAUUUUCUCAUUUAUUGGAAUGCUAUGCAGGUAUUUGUACCUUGCAGCCAUCCAUUACAAUGUCACCAAGCCGUAACAAAAGCAGGAGAGGGAAAGUACAAGGCUAUGUUCCCAAAACACAAAUGACAUACCUUAUGUGGAGGAUGUGAUCAGGCUUGUGUUUGAUGAGGUAUUUGAAGACAAGCUGAAGGAAACCCCGAUUCCAAUGGACCUGGCAUCACAGUUUGAGAGACCUUCAAAAGAGGACGUGAUUGCAUGCCAUCUUCAGUGCAGGGGUCGUCGAAAGCCAAAAUUGUGACCGAUCUGAUCAGGAAGCUCCAAGCGUAUCUGGAGAACAACACACGACAGGAUGAUAACCUUAUAGUGUCGUCUUAAAUAGCACCAGCUGACAAAGCUUUGAUAUGCCAUUUAUCUGAAUAGAUAGCUGUAAGAAAUGAAUUGAACAAUUUUUGAAACAA